This 467-nucleotide ribosomal RNA is filed under the name uncultured bacterium. Its description in RNAcentral is "partial 16S ribosomal RNA". It matches the Rfam family "Bacterial small subunit ribosomal RNA", at positions 28 to 506 of the family's 1533-position model. The record is from RNAcentral.
GACGAACGCUGGCGGCGUGCUUAAUACAUGCAAGUCGAACGGAAAGGUCCUGCUUUUGUGGGGUGCUCGAGUGGCGAACGGGUGAGUAACACGUGAGUAACCUGCCCUUGACUUUGGGAUAACUUCAGGAAACUGGGGCUAAUACCGGAUAGGAGCUCCUGAUGCAUGGUGGGGGUUGGAAAGUUUCGGCGGUUGGGGAUGGACUCGCGGCUUAUCAGCUUGUUGGUGGGGUAGUGGCUUACCAAGGCUUUGACGGGUAGCCGGCCUGAGAGGGUGACCGGCCACAUUGUGACUGGGAUACGGCCCAGACUCCUACGGGAGGCAGGAGUGGAGAAUAUUGCACAAUGGGCGGAAGCCUGAUGCAGCAACGCCGCGUGCGGGAUGACGGCCUUCGGGGUGUAAACCGCUUUCGCCUGUGACGAAGCGUGAGUGACGGUAAUGGGUAAAGAAGCACCGGCUAACUACGU